UAUAAUUUUGAGUUAAACUUAAAAUAAGAAACUUUAUAGAGAGAAAAAACAUGGUGAUGAAAUGUGUAAGAAAACUUAUGUUGGUGAUCACAAAAUUGCAUAUCCUUAUUCUCUUUAGUGUGGAAGCCAAUAACAUUGCCCCAACCUCAUUCACUUCGUCUUCUCCUCCCAUAUUGUCCCCUUAUUCAUCUAAACUUGAUAUUGCAGAAAUGAAUUGGUGCCUUACAGUUGCAGUUGGUCAUUGUGCUGAAUUUAAAAGCACAUGGCCAUUUCUGACAAGCUAUAUGAACUUUGUAUAAUUAAGGCUUUUGUAGUGUGCUUCGAUGAAACCCGAGCUUUUAAAAACACAAUUACUUCUCAAAUCCUUAAUGAUUGCGUCUUUGUCAAUUGCAAGCAAAAAUUGAGAAUUAAAGCCAAACAUCGUCAAAGGGCCCUUUUUGUUCAUUGUUGAUUGGAAUGUUAUUAUCAACAUGUCACCAACCCCAAUGAUGUCAUUCAUAGGCAGAAUCAUUGAGUUCCGACUUUGAUGAGAAUUACUAGAAUUCAUACUUUGUGAGAGUUGGGGGAUUAACGACAGAAGAAUUAAACGAGUUGGAGCUUGAAUUUGUGUUCUUAAUGGGCUUCAAAUUACAUGUAAAUGUGAGUGUUUUUAAGAGCUAUUGUUGCCACUUAGAAAGAGAAGUCAGCAUUGGAGGAGGUUACCAUGUGCAGAAGAAAUCAAAGGAAGGCAUAAAGAAGGAAGCGAGUACAAUCAGAUUGUUCGUGUUAUGUUGUAGACUCGAAUGGGGAGUUUUACCCUUUUGUCAAUUUUAUUUACCCAUCAUGUUGGUGCGUAAUUCUCGUUUACAAAGACGUAAAUUUAGUGUCUUUGAAAUGGUUAAGGAUUUACAGAAUCUCGGAGUAAUGUAAAACUAUUGUGGUUUGAUGUAGAAAAGAGGGAAAUAUAUGGUGACUUCUUUCUCUC
Molecule: long non-coding RNA, 964 nt
Organism: Alnus glutinosa
Lineage: Eukaryota; Viridiplantae; Streptophyta; Magnoliopsida; Fagales; Betulaceae
Exons: 2
Source: RefSeq, a predicted model, not a curated record